UAGCCUUACAGUUAAUUUUUAGGUGCUCUAAUUUUAGACUGUAUCUAGGCAGCCAGACCCUGAGCUGCUGCCAGCAUCCAAAAUCUGGCUUUGCUCAGUGACUUGCAUGAAUCCUCCUGUCUUGCAGGGAGAAGCGAGGGUGCGCCUGGGCCAAAUUUUCUUCCCCUUGUGAAAAGAGGCGGGCGCGCAGCUUCAGAGGAGAAGCUCUCCUCAUUUCUUUGCCUCUUUCCUGGGAUCGUGGAUGAAAACGCCCAGGAAUGAGCCUGCACACGCCUGAGGUGCCCACGUUACCUUCAGAAAUCGCUCUGGAGAAAAGGUUUUGCAAAGCUCUGCUGUGCAAACAUCCCCUUCCCAGGCAAAUUCUUUGAGGGACAAAACUGAUAAAUACCUGUGAGAUAA
Centrocercus urophasianus (Greater sage-grouse) is the source of this 399-nucleotide long non-coding RNA. RefSeq lists it as uncharacterized. The transcript has 2 exons. The record is from RefSeq and is a predicted model, not a curated record. Lineage: Eukaryota; Metazoa; Chordata; Aves; Galliformes; Phasianidae.